This 490-nucleotide ribosomal RNA is filed under the name uncultured bacterium. Its description in RNAcentral is "partial 16S ribosomal RNA". It matches the Rfam family "Bacterial small subunit ribosomal RNA", at positions 30 to 507 of the family's 1533-position model. The record is from RNAcentral.
AUUGAACGCUGGCGGCAGGCCUAACACAUGCAAGUCGAACGGUAACAGGAAGAAGCUUGCUUCUUUGCUGACGAGUGGCGGACGGGGGAGUAAUGUCUGGGAAACUGCCUGAUGGAGGGGGAUAACUACUGGAAAAGGUAGCUAAUACCGCAUAACGUCGCAAGACCAAAGAGGGGGACCUUCGGGCCUCUUGCCAUCGGAUGUGCCCAGAUGGGAUUAGCUAGUAGGUGGGGUAACGGCGCACCUAGGCGACGAUCCCUAGCUGGUCUGAGAGGAUGACCAGCCACACUGGAACUGAGACACGGUCCAGACUCCUACGGGAGGCAGCAGUGGGGAAUAUUGCACAAUGGGCGCAAGCCUGAUGCAGCCAUGCCGCGUGUAUGAAGAAGGCCUUCGGGUUGUAAAGUACUUUCAGCGGGGAGGAAGGGAGUAAAGUUAAUACCUUUGCUCAUUGACGUUACCCGCAGAAGAAGCACCGGCUAACUCCGUG